Molecule: non-coding RNA, 24 nt
Filed under: Rattus norvegicus (Norway rat)
Lineage: Eukaryota; Metazoa; Chordata; Mammalia; Rodentia; Muridae
Source: RNAcentral
UCCUAAUUACUGGACCUAGGAGGU